ACAGUCAUAUCACAUUGAAACAUUGGUUGUUAUACGAUCACCGAAGUUAAGCAACAUUAAGCUUGGUCAGUACUUAGAUGGGUGAUCACUUGUGAAUGCCAGUUGCUA
Acanthosepion pharaonis is the source of this 108-nucleotide non-coding RNA. NCBI's taxonomy places the organism in Eukaryota, Metazoa, Mollusca, Cephalopoda, Sepiida, Sepiidae. The record is from the annotation of a GenBank genome assembly.